This 438-nucleotide long non-coding RNA is filed under the name Pan troglodytes (chimpanzee). RNAcentral describes it as "long non-coding RNA NONPTRT002612". The record is from RNAcentral. Lineage: Eukaryota; Metazoa; Chordata; Mammalia; Primates; Hominidae.
AGUAACCUCUGCAGACUUAAAUGUCCCUGUCUGACAGCUUUGAAGAGAGCAGUGCUUCUCCCAGCAUGCAGCUGGAGAUCUGAGAAGGGGCAGACUGCCUCCUCAAGUGGGUCCCUGACCCCUGACCGACGGAGAAUGACUUUGACGAGUUGAGAGAAGAAGGCUUCAGACGAUCAAACUACUCCGAGCUACAGGAGGAAAUUCUAACCAAAGGCAAAGAAGCUGAAAACUUUGAAAAAAAUUUAGACGAACGUAUAACUAGAAUAACCAAUACAGAGAAGUGCUUAAAGGAGCUGAUGGAGCUGAAAGCCAAGGCUCGAGAAGUACCUGAAGAAUGCAGAAGCCUCAGGAGCUGAUGCGAUCAACUGGAAGAAAGGGUAUCAGUGAUGGAAGAUGAAAUGAAUGAAAUGAAGCAAGAAGGGCAGUUUAGAGAAAAAA